RNAcentral lists this ribosomal RNA (494 nucleotides) under uncultured bacterium. RNAcentral describes it as "partial 16S ribosomal RNA". It matches the Rfam family "Bacterial small subunit ribosomal RNA", at positions 28 to 507 of the family's 1533-position model. The record is from RNAcentral.
GACGAACGCUGGCGGCGUGCUUAACACAUGCAAGUCGAACGGAAAGGCCUGCUUUCCCUUGUGGAUUGCGGGUACUCGAGUGGCGAACGGGUGAGUAACACGUGAGUGAUCUGCCCCCAACUUGGGUAUAAGCCUGGGAAACUGGGUCUAAUUCCCGAUAGGACUGCAGGGUGGUGCCUGUGGUGGAAAACGAUUUUCUAGUGGUUGGGGAUGAGCUCGCGGCCUAUCAACUUGUUGGUGGGGUAAUGGCCUACCAAGGCGGCGACGGGUAGCCGGCCUGAGAGGGUGGACGGCCACAUUGGGACUGAGAUACGGCCCAGACUCCUACGGGAGGCAGCAGUGGGGAAUAUUGCACAAUGGGCGGAAGCCUGAUGCAGCGACGCCGCGUGGGGGAUGACGGCCUUCGGGUUGUAAACUCCUUUCGACCGCGAGGAAGCCACCUGGUUGGAAGGGUGGUGACGGUAGUGGUAGAAGAAGCACCGGCUAACUACGUG